CAGACUGAAAUUCCAUUUGCAUGGGUAGUGUCAGGGACGUGUUGGGAAUAGCUAUGUUUUGUGACAUUGAACUCUUAUACGAACUGAUGGUUGAUUUCAAACAAUCACAAACAUAUGGGAUUUUUCACUACCAUCGGAUAUCAUUAUGUGUUUUAUUCAUGGACUAUGAAAGGGAGAUGGAACUUUUUGAUCAGCUAGAUAAAUCUGUGUAUUUUUAUCUAGCGGAACAGCAGCAACAACA
Molecule: long non-coding RNA, 241 nt
Organism: Haliotis rubra (blacklip abalone)
Lineage: Eukaryota; Metazoa; Mollusca; Gastropoda; Lepetellida; Haliotidae
Exons: 3
Source: RefSeq, a predicted model, not a curated record